This 477-nucleotide ribosomal RNA is filed under the name uncultured bacterium. Its description in RNAcentral is "partial 16S ribosomal RNA". It matches the Rfam family "Bacterial small subunit ribosomal RNA", at positions 28 to 506 of the family's 1533-position model. The record is from RNAcentral.
GAUGAACGCUGGCGGCGUGCUUAACACAUGCAAGUCGAACGGGAAUUCUUUUAUUGAAACUUCGGUCGAUUUAAUUUAAUUCUAGUGGCGGCCGGGUGAGUAACUCGUGGGUAACCUGCCUUAUACAGGGGGAUAACAGUCAGAAAUGGCUGCUAAUACCGCAUAAGCGCACAGAGCUGCAUGGCUCAGUUUGAAAAACUCCGAUGGUAUAAGGUGGACCCGCGUUGGAUUAGCGGGUUGGAGGGGUAUCGGCCCACCAAGGCGACGAUCCAUAGCCGGCCUGGGAGGGUGAACGGCAACAUUGGGACUGGGACACGGCCCGGACCCCUACGGGAGGCAGCAGUGGGGACUAUUGCACACUGGGUGAAACCCGGAGGCCGCGGCGCCGCGUGACGGAGGAAGUAUCUCGGUAUGUAAACUUCUAUCAGCAGGCAAGAUAGUGCCGGUACCUGACUAAGAGGCCCCGCCUAACUCCUU